AUCGGUGCCCAGAGAGGAGGGGAACCACCUGUUCCCAUGCCGAACACAGAAGUUAAGCCCUCCAUCGGUUACAAUACUUGGGUCAUCAAGCCCUGGGAAGAUAGCACGGUGCCGAUU
This 117-nucleotide ribosomal RNA is filed under the name Candidatus Saccharimonadota bacterium. The record is from RNAcentral. Lineage: Bacteria; Candidatus Saccharimonadota.